RNAcentral lists this ribosomal RNA (343 nucleotides) under uncultured soil bacterium. RNAcentral describes it as "bacterial SSU rRNA". It matches the Rfam family "Bacterial small subunit ribosomal RNA", at positions 26 to 396 of the family's 1533-position model. The record is from RNAcentral.
AGAACGAACGCUGGCGGCAUGCCUAAUACAUGCAAGUCGAACGAACACUUCGGUGUUAGUGGCGCACGGGUGCGUAACGCGUGGGAAUCUGCCCUUGGGUUCGGAAUAACAGUUGGAAACGACUGCUAAUACCGGAUGAUGACGAAAGUCCAAAGAUUUAUCGCCCAGGGAUGAGCCCGCGUAGGAUUAGCUAGUUGGUGAGGUAAAGGCUCACCAAGGCGACGAUCCUUAGCUGGUCUGAGAGGAUGAUCAGCCACACUGGGACUGAGACACGGCCCAGACUCCUACGGGAGGCAGCAGUAGGGAAUAUUGGACAAGUGGGCGCAAGCCUGAUCCAGCAAUG